This 431-nucleotide ribosomal RNA is filed under the name uncultured bacterium. RNAcentral describes it as "partial 16S ribosomal RNA". It matches the Rfam family "Bacterial small subunit ribosomal RNA", at positions 36 to 505 of the family's 1533-position model. The record is from RNAcentral.
CCCUCCCUCUUUCUUCCGGCCUCCCCCCUGCACGUCGAGCGCGCCCUUCGGGGUGAGCGGCGGACGGGUGAGUAACGCGUGGGAACGUGCCCUUUUCUACGGAAUAGCCUCGGGAAACUGAGAGUAAUACCGUAUACGCCCUUUGGGGGAAAGAUUUAUCGGAAAAGGAUCGGCCCGCGUUGGAUUAGGUAGUUGGUGGGGUAAUGGCCUACCAAGCCGACGAUCCAUAGCUGGUUUGAGAGGAUGAUCAGCCACACUGGGACUGAGACACGGCCCAGACUCCUACGGGAGGCAGCAGUGGGGAAUCUUAGACAAUGGGGGCAACCCUGAUCUAGCCAUGCCGCGUGAGUGAUGAAGGCCUUAGGGUUGUAAAGCUCUUUCAGCUGGGAAGAUAAUGACGGUACCAGCAGAAGAAGCCCCGGCGAACGCCG